UUAUUUAUUUUAUAUCACCGAUUUUGAAUGUAUGUAUUGCAAAAUAAGUAUAUGGCUUUUUUAUUAUAUUUAACCUUCUUGGUCCGUUUUUUUUUCACUUUAUCACAAUUGCGCUUAUGAGUCC
Melitaea cinxia (Glanville fritillary) is the source of this 124-nucleotide long non-coding RNA. RefSeq lists it as uncharacterized. The record is from RefSeq and is a predicted model, not a curated record. The transcript has 3 exons. Lineage: Eukaryota; Metazoa; Arthropoda; Insecta; Lepidoptera; Nymphalidae.